Molecule: ribosomal RNA, 496 nt
Filed under: uncultured bacterium
Lineage: Bacteria
Description: partial 16S ribosomal RNA
Rfam family: Bacterial small subunit ribosomal RNA
Source: RNAcentral
GAUGAACGCUGGCGGCGUGCCUAAUACAUGCAAGUCGAGCGAACAGACGAGGAGCUUGCUCCUCUGACGUUAGCGGCGGACGGGUGAGUAACACGUGGAUAACCUACCUAUAAGACUGGGAUAACUUCGGGAAACCGGAGCUAAUACCGGAUAAUAUAUUGAACCGUAUGGUUCAAUAGUGAAAGACGGUUUUGCUGUCACUUAUAGAUGGAUACGGGCCUCAUUAGCUAGUUGGUAAGUUACGACUUACCAAGGCAACGAUGCGUAGCCGACGUGAGAGGGUGAUCGGCCACACUGGAACUGAGACACGGUCCAGACUCCUACGGGAGGCAGCAGUAGGGAAUCUUCCGCAAUGGGCGAGAGCCUGACGGAGCAACGGCGAGUGAGUGAUGAAGGUCUUCGGAUCGUAAAACUCUGUUAUUAGGGAAGAACAAAUGUGUACGUAACUAUGCACGUCUUGACGGUAACUAAUCAGAAAGCCACGGCUAACUACGUG